Molecule: long non-coding RNA, 1318 nt
Organism: Cyprinus carpio carpio
Lineage: Eukaryota; Metazoa; Chordata; Actinopteri; Cypriniformes; Cyprinidae
Source: Ensembl
UUGAUUGCAUGCCUCCACAUAAUCUUCCUCUUCUUCUUGGCUGUCGUCUGGUGGUAUAAUGUCACCAACACCAAGGCAGAUGUUGUGCAGCAUGGUGCAUGACACUAUUACCUGUAUGUACACAAAUAUGAAAACAUAAAUUGUCACCCUAAAUUGUAUAUUCUUUUAUCUGACACUGAAGUUGUGUGUUAAGUAAAGGUCAAAUAUAGAGAAAAAUAAUGCAACCUUUGGUGCAAAUGUUGGAUGCACUUCAAGUGCCUGAAGGAAGAUGGUUCUGAAUCGCGUCUUCAUCAAAGCACGCUCAAUAAUUGAGAGGCCUUUGGAAAGACGUGCAUUGAAGCGCUGAGUAGCUGGUGAGGCUGGAUUCUUAAAUUGCACAGAUUGGCUUCUCUGUGCAGGGGUACCCACCAUCGCAGAGGAGGAAAAAGCCCUGAGGUGGAUACUUUGCCUGUUUAAAAAUGGGGCUGUUCUUAAUCACCCGUGAGUCGUGGACACUCCCAGGGGUACCCAGUCUAAAAAUGCCCCUUGAUGGUCGCAUAUCCCUUGAAGCAGGAUAGAGGCAAACAGCUUUCUGUUUUUAUAACACUGUCCAUCAGGGUCAGCUGGUGGUUUUAUUCUCACAUGGCAUCCAUCAAUUGCUCCAACAGCUUUACCAAAUGCCUGGUGAUUGGUGGGAGAAGAAAUGGAGUCACCUCCAGACAUCUCCACUCCUGUAUGGCCACCAGCAGUGCGACCGCUGAUGCCACCAGUAGCUCCACCUGGUGUCUCUACAGUGAAUAACACCCCUAUUCCAUUCAGCCCCAUGCACCUGUGUGCUAAUGGCUUCUCCUGUUCUGGCUGGCAGCACUCCCGUGCAAACUCUCACCUGGGUACCACAAGUGGAUAACAUGCAACUAUGCACAUCAUCCAAAGGAGGAUCUCUUUCAAGUGCACAGCAUGACCUACCCAACGUUCUACCAACUCCUGGAAGAGAAAUUCAAAAGUUUACUUCUCAGGUACAAGGGAACUGGGAAAAUUUAUUUGACUUCAUAAAAAGACAAGAAAAAAUAUUGAAUGAUCUUACCCAAGAAAUGAAAGCCACUUCUUCUCAAAACAAAAAUGAAAUGGUGGACCUUGCUGCAAAAGUUGAGGAUAACAAGAGUUAAGUCUUCACUCUGUUGACCACUACCAAACAACAAGAGGAAUCUGAAACGGACAAGCUGGUUAAAGCUAUGAAGCAAAUGAUUACAGCUGAACUCCAAAAGGUGGAAUCUACCAUGAUGUCAGAAAUGCGAUUCAUGAUAGACCAACUCCAGUCAGAAAUCCAGCAGGAUAUCAA